AUGUUCACUACAACAGCACAUAUACUAAAAUUGGAAUGUUAAUCAGCAAAGGUUAACAUGGUCCUUGCACAAUGGAGACAUGCAAAUUUGUAAGGCUUUUAAUAUUUUU
This 109-nucleotide small nuclear RNA is filed under the name Microcebus murinus (gray mouse lemur). The record is from RNAcentral. Lineage: Eukaryota; Metazoa; Chordata; Mammalia; Primates; Cheirogaleidae.